This 497-nucleotide ribosomal RNA is filed under the name uncultured bacterium. RNAcentral's name for it is "partial 16S ribosomal RNA". It matches the Rfam family "Bacterial small subunit ribosomal RNA", at positions 28 to 507 of the family's 1533-position model. The record is from RNAcentral.
GAUGAACGCUGGCGGCGUGCCUAAUACAUGCAAGUCGAGCGAACGGACGAGAAGCUUGCUUCUCUGAUGUUAGCGGCGGACGGGUGAGUAACACGUGGAUAACCUACCUAUAAGACUGGGAUAACUUCGGGAAACCGGAGCUAAUACCGGAUGAUAUUUUGAACCGCAUGGUUCAAAAGUGAAAGACGGUCUUGCUGUCACUUAUAGAUGGAUCCGCGCUGCAUUAGCUAGUUGGUAAGGUAACGGCUUACCAAGGCAACGAUGCAUAGCCGACCUGAGAGGGGGAUAGGCCAAACUGGAACUGAGACACGGUCCAGACUCCUACGGGAGGCAGCAGUAGGGAAUCUUCCGCAAUGGGCGAAAGCCUGACGGAGCAACGCCGCGUGAGUGAUGAAGGUCUUCGGAUCGUAAAACUCUGUUAUUAGGGAAGAACAUAUGUGUAAGUAACUGUGCACAUCUUGACGGUACCUAAUCAGAAAGCCACGGCUAACUACGUG